RNAcentral lists this long non-coding RNA (329 nucleotides) under Solanum tuberosum (potato). Its description in RNAcentral is "long non-coding RNA (STUB_LNC010606)". Lineage: Eukaryota; Viridiplantae; Streptophyta; Magnoliopsida; Solanales; Solanaceae. The record is from RNAcentral.
UAACAUUGGUAGAUUGAAUUGGCCAUUCCUUCCUUUUAGAGGAUCUAAACUAGAUGUACUAUCACAUGUGCAUGCUUUUAGGUUAACCCCAUGGAUAAAAAAUUCUGCCACCAGAUUUGAAAAUGCAGAAGAACUAUUCUUCAAUAACUGGUUAGGAGCAUCAAACUCGAGAAUGUUUCCUACAUCAAACAAGACAAAUUUUAUCAGGCAAUACAAUUUGUUUCAAACAAUAUUAUGUGUGUAUUCUCAGAUGUUAUAUGUCCUCAUCAUUUUGAAAAUUUAAAUUUCUUCGUUUUGUUAGGAUUUAUCUCUGUAUAAUUGAAAGUAAC